UUGAUGCCUUGAUCUUCAUGAUGUCUAGAUAUUGCUAAUUGCUCCUUGAUUAUUGCUUGAUUCAAAGUCCAAAGGGAAAGUGGGUUUUCUAUAUGACAUUCUUGUCUAUUGGAUUGCAUCCCAAUGGUCAGAUCUUUUCAACUCUUAACUUUUAAUUUUUGUACUUAGGAUAGCCUCUUCAUCUUCUCCCACUUCUUAAAU
This 201-nucleotide long non-coding RNA is filed under the name Lathyrus oleraceus (garden pea). RNAcentral describes it as "Pisum sativum (pea) long non-coding RNA (PSAT_LNC024791)". Lineage: Eukaryota; Viridiplantae; Streptophyta; Magnoliopsida; Fabales; Fabaceae. The record is from RNAcentral.